GUGGGGAAUAUUGGACAAUGGGCGAAAGCCUGAUCCAGCCAUGCCGCGUGAGUGAUGAAGGCCUUAGGGUUGUAAAGCUCUUUCAGUAGGGAAGAUAAUGACGGUACCUACAGAAGAAGCCCCGGCUAACUUCGUGCCAGCAGCCGCGGUAAUACGAAGGGGGCUAGCGUUGUUCGGAUUUACUGGGCGUAAAGCGCACGUAGGCGGAUUGGUCUGUUAGAGGUGAAAUCCUGGAGCUCAACUCCAGAACUGCCUUUAAUACUGCCAGUCUAGAGUCCAGAAGAGGUGAGUGGAACUCCUAGUGUAGAGGUGGAAUUCGUAGAUAUUAGGAAGAACACCAGUGGCGAAGGCGGCUCACUGGUCUGGUACUGACGCUGAGGUGCGAAAGCGUGGGGAGCAAACAGGAUUAGAAACCCGUGUAGUCC
Molecule: ribosomal RNA, 425 nt
Filed under: uncultured bacterium
Lineage: Bacteria
Description: partial 16S ribosomal RNA
Rfam family: Bacterial small subunit ribosomal RNA
Source: RNAcentral